Molecule: transfer RNA, 65 nt
Filed under: Labidostomis lucida
Lineage: Eukaryota; Metazoa; Arthropoda; Insecta; Coleoptera; Chrysomelidae
Description: tRNA-Thr
Rfam family: tRNA
About the family: Transfer RNA (tRNA) molecules are approximately 80 nucleotides in length. Their secondary structure includes four short double-helical elements and three loops (D, anti-codon, and T loops). Further hydrogen bonds mediate the characteristic L-shaped molecular structure. tRNAs have two regions of fundamental functional importance: the anti-codon, which is responsible for specific mRNA codon recognition, and the 3' end, to which the tRNAs corresponding amino acid is attached (by aminoacyl-tRNA synthetases). tRNAs cope with the degeneracy of the genetic code in two manners: having more than one tRNA (with a specific anti-codon) for a particular amino acid; and 'wobble' base-pairing, i.e. permitting non-standard base-pairing at the 3rd anti-codon position.
Source: RNAcentral
ACUUUAAUAAUUUAAAAUAAAAUAUUGGUCUUGUAAACCAAAAAUAAGAUUACUCUUUUAAAGUA